CCCUUAGAUGUUCUGGGCCGCGCGCGCGCUACAAUGGCAGACUCAGCGAGUUACCUCUGUCGAAAGGCACAGGGAAUCUUUACAGUAUCUGCCGUGAUGGGGAUAGACCCUUGUAAUUUUUGGUCUUCAACGAGGAAUUCCUAGUAAACGCAAGUCAUUAACUUGCAUUGAUUACGUCCCUGCCCUUUGUACACACCGCCCGUCGCACCUACCGAUUGAAUGGUCCGGUGAAGUCCUCGGACCCAGUUGAACCUCGAGUUGAACAGGGAAAGUUGACUAAAUCUUACCAUUUAGAGGAAGGUGAAGUCGUAACA
Molecule: ribosomal RNA, 314 nt
Filed under: uncultured eukaryote
Lineage: Eukaryota
Description: partial 18S ribosomal RNA
Rfam family: Eukaryotic small subunit ribosomal RNA
Source: RNAcentral